Molecule: ribosomal RNA, 517 nt
Filed under: uncultured bacterium
Lineage: Bacteria
Description: bacterial SSU rRNA
Rfam family: Bacterial small subunit ribosomal RNA
Source: RNAcentral
GAACUUUCCAGAGAUGGAUUGGUGCCUUCGGGAACUUAGAUACAGGUGCUGCAUGACUGUCGUCAGCUCGUGUCGUGAGAUGUUGGGUUAAGUCCCGNAACGAGCGCAACCCUUUUCCUUAUUUGCCAGCGGGUCAUGCCGGGAACUUUAAGGAUACUGCCAGUGACAAACUGGAGGAAGGCGGGGACGACGUCAAGUCAUCAUGGCCCUUACGGCCAGGGCUACACACGUGCUACAAUGGUCGGUACAAAGGGUUGCUACCUCGCGAGAGGAUGCUAAUCUCAAAAAGCCGAUCGUAGUCCGGAUCGCAGUCUGCAACUCGACUGCGUGAAGUCGGAAUCGCUAGUAAUCGCGGAUCAGAAUGCCGCGGUGAAUACGUUCCCGGGCCUUGUACACACCGCCCGUCACACCAUGGGAGUUUGUUGCACCAGAAGUAGGUAGUCUAACCGCAAGGAGGACGCUUACCACGGUGUGGCCGAUGACUGGGGUGAAGUCGUAACAAGGUAGGCGUAGAUGA